This 271-nucleotide unclassified non-coding RNA is filed under the name fungal sp. RNAcentral describes it as "partial internal transcribed spacer region". The stretch from base 1 to 46 matches the Rfam family "Eukaryotic small subunit ribosomal RNA", at positions 1786 to 1831 of the family's 1831-position model. The record is from RNAcentral. Lineage: Eukaryota; Fungi.
AAGUCGUAACAAGGUUUCCGUAGGUGAACCUGCGGAAGGAUCAUUAUGAAUUUUGGUUGUCUUGACUGAGUCUUGACUCCUAUUUUCUGUGAACUGGAUCUCGACCCUUUAUUUUUUCUUUCUUUCUUUCUUUUCUUUUAGGAAGGAAGGAAGGAAGGAAGGAAAAAAUAAAGGUGAAGGAUUGCUUUAUUUGUUUUCUGUUGUAAUUGUUCUUUACAAGUUUAUUCUUUGUAAUGAAAGACAACUUUCAGCAAUGGAUCUCUUGGCUCUU